CCCAAAAAAAAAAAAGUUUACCCCCGCAGACGAACGCUGGCGGCGUGCCUAAUACAUGCAAGUCGAACGAACUCUGGUAUUGAUUGGUGCUUGCAUCAUGAUUUACAUUUGAGUGAGUGGCGAACUGGUGAGUAACACGUGGGAAACCUGCCCAGAAGCGGGGGAUAACACCUGGAAACAGAUGCUAAUACCGCAUAACAACUUGGACCGCAUGGUCCGAGUUUGAAAGAUGGCUUCGGCUAUCACUUUUGGAUGGUCCCGCGGCGUAUUAGCUAGAUGGUGGGGUAACGGCUCACCAUGGCAAUGAUACGUAGCCGACCUGAGAGGGUAAUCGGCCACAUUGGGACUGAGACACGGCCCAAACUCCUACGGGAGGCAGCAGUAGGGAAUCUUCCACAAUGGACGAAAGUCUGAUGGAGCAACGCCGCGUGAGUGAAGAAGGGUUUCGGCUCGUAAAACUCUGUUGUUAAAGAAGAACAUAUCUGAGAGUAACUGUUCAGGUAUUGACGGUAUUUAACCAGAAAGCCACGGCUAACUACGUGCCAGCAGCCGCGGUAAUACGUAGGUGGCAAGCGUUGUCCGGAUUUAUUGGGCGUAAAGCGAGCGCAGGCGGUUUUUUAAGUCUGAUGUGAAAGCCUUCGGCUCAACCGAAGAAGUGCAUCGGAAACUGGGAAACUUGAGUGCAGAAGAGGACAGUGGAACUCCAUGUGUAGCGGUGAAAUGCGUAGAUAUAUGGAAGAACACCAGUGGCGAAGGCGGCUGUCUGGUCUGUAACUGACGCUGAGGCUCGAAAGUAUGGGUAGCAAACAGGAUUAGAUACCCUGGUAGUCCAUACCGUAAACGAUGAAUGCUAAGUGUUGGAGGGUUUCCGCCCUUCAGUGCUGCAGCUAACGCAUUAAGCAUCCGCCUGGAACGCGCGCGAGAGAAGAAAACUAAC
This 937-nucleotide ribosomal RNA is filed under the name Lactiplantibacillus plantarum. Its description in RNAcentral is "bacterial SSU rRNA". It matches the Rfam family "Bacterial small subunit ribosomal RNA", at positions 1 to 906 of the family's 1533-position model. Lineage: Bacteria; Bacillati; Bacillota; Bacilli; Lactobacillales; Lactobacillaceae. The record is from RNAcentral.